AAAGCAGCAGAGGAAUUCAGAAGAAGAAAACAAAACAAAACAGAGUUGUCUAUUUUCCCCUGUUUUUGUCUUCUUCUUGGUUGCUAAGAAAAUCUCUAAUAUUUGUUUGUUUCUUUUUGUAAAAUGUUGAUUUUGGUUUUGGUGUAUUUUGAUCGUUGAAAACAUGUCCGAGUUACUUGGAGUCCCAUAUAUGAUGUGUACUGUUCCCGCGACUUUCGUUGUAUAUUACAUUUUUUAAUAGUAUUUGUUUAUUUAACCAUAUAGUAUUUAUGUUAUGGCCUUCACGUUGUCAAAAUAUCCACGUAUCUGGAGAUUUCCUCAGCACUAAUUAUUAAAUGUGUAAUAAGGUGGGAUGAUCAAAAUUUUAGUGACGC
This is a long non-coding RNA of Arabidopsis thaliana (thale cress), 374 nucleotides long. RefSeq annotates it as other RNA. The record is from RefSeq. NCBI's taxonomy places the organism in Eukaryota, Viridiplantae, Streptophyta, Magnoliopsida, Brassicales, Brassicaceae. The transcript has a single exon.